GAUGAACGCUGGCGGCGUGCCUAAUACAUGCAAGUCGAGCGAACGGACGAGAAGCUUGCUUCUCUGAUGUUAGCGGCGGACGGGUGAGUAACACGUGGAUACCCUACCUAUAAGACUGGGAUCACUUCGGGAAACCGGAUCUAAUACCGGAUAAUAUAUUGAACCGCAUGGUUCAAUAGUGAAAGACGGUUUUGCUGUCACUUAUAGAUGGAUCCGCGCCGCAUUAGCUAGUUGGUAAGGUAACGGCUUACCAAGGCAACGAUGCGUAGCCGACCUGAGAGGGUGAUCGGCCACACUGGAACUGAGACACGGUCCAGACUCCUACGGGAGGCAGCAGUAGGGAAUCUUCCGCAAUGGGCGAAAGCCUGACGGAGCAACGCCGCGUGAGUGAUGAAGGUCUUCGGAUCGUAAAACUCUGUUAUUAGGGAAGAACAAAUGUGUAAGUAACUAUGCACGUCUUGACGGUACCUAAUCAGAAAGCCACGGCUAACUACGUG
RNAcentral lists this ribosomal RNA (497 nucleotides) under uncultured bacterium. Its description in RNAcentral is "partial 16S ribosomal RNA". It matches the Rfam family "Bacterial small subunit ribosomal RNA", at positions 28 to 507 of the family's 1533-position model. The record is from RNAcentral.